Molecule: unclassified non-coding RNA, 350 nt
Filed under: soil metagenome
Description: partial contains 5.8S ribosomal RNA, internal transcribed spacer 2, and large subunit ribosomal RNA
Rfam family: 5.8S ribosomal RNA (bases 1-120)
Source: RNAcentral
GAUGAAGAACGCAGCGAAAUGCGAUAAGUAAUGUGAAUUGCAGAAUUCAGUGAAUCAUCGAGUCUUUGAACGCACAUUGCGCCCCCUGGCAUUCCGGGGGGCAUGCCUGUCCGAGCGUCAUUGCUGCCCUUCAAGCCCGGCUUGUGUGUUGGGUCGUCGUCCCCCCCGGGGGACGGGCCCGAAAGGCAGCGGCGGCACCGCGUCCGGUCCUCGAGCGUAUGGGGCUUUGUCACCCGCUCGAUUAGGGCCGGCCGGGCGCCAGCCGGCGUCUCCAACCUUUUAUUUUACCAGGUUGACCUCGGAUCAGGUAGGGAUACCCGCUGAACUUAAGCAUAUCAAUAAGCGGAGGA